AAGAGUUAAAGAGUUUUUUAACUAUUUCUUAUGAAUAAAUAUAUAGCAGAUUCAUGAAAGAAAAUCGCUAAAAUCUGUUGUUGGGUUAUUGGUUGUUGAAAUUUGUUGUAUUUGAUCUAUCAUUAACAAGGAAGGGAUUGAAUGCUCAUGGCUUAAAAAUUAUUGAAGUUUUUCUCAUGAAUUUGUAAUGAAGUUUGGCUUUUUUUCUCUAUUGUCAUUUGAGGGCUAGAAUGUUAUUGGUGGUAGAAAAUUUUGGGCGCAUUUUAGAUUGAAAAUCAUUCAGUCGUUUGAUCUAAAUUGAUUGCUCAUGGCUUAAGAAUUAUUGAAGUUUUUCUUUUAAAUUUGUUAUGGAGUUUGCCUUUUGUUCCCUAUUGUCUAUUGCCAUUUUAGGGCUAGAAUGUUCUUAGUGGCAGGAAAUUUUGGGUUUUUUUUAGAUUGAAAAUUAUUCAGUCAUUUGAUCUCAAUUGACUGCUCAUGGCUUAAGAAUUAUUGUAGCUUUUUUUAUUAAAUUGUUAUGGAGUUUGUCAUUUUUUCUCUAUUGUGAUUUUAGGGCUUGAAUGUUCUUAGUUGUAGUAAAUUUUGGGUUUGUUUUGCUGUAUCUGUUUUCUCAUGGUUAUCUUUGCAUCAAUUGUUUAUUAUUUGAUGAUCGAUGUUCAAAUUUAGUUUGUCAUUAAAAAAAACAAAAAAGCCUAGCUCUUGUUAAUAUUAGUAGUAGCUCUUUAGAAAAAAAAAAAACACAAACCCAAAAACAGAUUUUAGGAUGGUCUAUAUUUCUAGUUGUAUAUAUUGUCCUUAUCUAUAUUGUUAGAUUGAACUAUAGCUUAGAGAAAUGGUAUUGCUUAACUAUAGCAUAGAGAAAUAGUAUUGUUUAUAUACUAGAAAUUUAAGAAGAGGUUUUUUUUUAAUUUCAAAUGCAUUCGAAUUCACAUCUAUAAAGUCAUUUAGUUUUGUUUCAUUUCGCAAAAGAAAGGCAUUGUGCUAGUUUAACUUGGAUAUGAACUAGUUUUUACUUUGUAGAAUAUUGAAUUGCAUGUUCAUCUUAAAAGUUGGGUCCUCUUUUGAGGAUCUUUAUUUCAAGACUACUUUCCAUAAUUUACUAAAAAAUUCAUAAAUUAAUAGGUUAAAAUCGUUAAGAUUGUAGUAUUUAAGUAAUCAUUGUUAUAAAUGUUUUUGUAGGUUAUAUCCCCCCAACAAUAUGUCUACCUACCUCUUGUUAAAAUUUAGAUGUAACUCUUUUAAAAAGAUCUAGAUUGAGCCUACCAAACUUGAGCAAGUUCAAUGUGUGGAAUGUAAAUUAUUACAAAUCUUGCGCAGGACAAAAGAAAAUGAGUGAUAGCAGAUUGAUUUAUUGUAUUUUUUGUAGAGAACUCCAAUCAAAUGUCGAUGAGACUUUAGAUUAUAUUGGUGGUGAUGGAUGUACAUUUAUGAUUGACAAUAGAACUAAGUUAGAUGACUUGCGAAAAUACGUAGCAGAGAAUUUCUCAUUAGACAUGCACUUGAUAUCAUUGAGGUAUUUUGUCUCAAGAAAAAGAAGAUUUAUUGUGAAUCUAUUCAUUAACGAUGAUAUUAAGAGGAUAUUGAACGCACAUGAAGGCGAGAAUAAUGUGUUCGAGUGAACAAAGGGGUGGAAGUACUUCACAUAAUACUAGGGCAAUCGAAGAGGUCAGAUCCCCCCAAUCCUCUAAUGUUUUGGUCUUUGGUUUCGAACAAAGCAAUGCACCAAGAUUGCUUAGUCCAUGGGAAGAUGCACUUAUCGAUAUAGGGCAGCAAUUUGAAUCGCUAGAUGACUUCGGAAAAGCCCUUAGCAAGUUUGCUAUAGCACACCAUUUCACAUAUCGUCUUGUUAAAAGUGAGGGGUAUCGCAUAAAGGGCGAAAUGCAAUGGCGACAUAUGCAAAUGGGAGAUAUAUGCUUCGAAGUUUGGCAGGACGAAUGUUUUUAGCAUCAAAACAUGGAAAAGAGAACACUCAUGUAAUAUUGAGACAAGCAAUGAUGUACAGAGAAGAGUGUCCCAAAAAUUUGGUGCAUCAUUAAUCAAGGAUAAAGUAAGUGACACUGCGCAUUAUAAGGCUAAAGAAAUUAUGAAUGAUUUGUCUCAAGAUUAUGUGUUAGAAAUACCUUUACAAGGCUUGGCGAAGGAAAGAAACAGCCAUCAAAGACAUACAUGAUUCGCAAGAGGAAGCAUACACAACUAGUUACUCACAUAUAUAAAGCAUGUGAUGGAGACGAAUCCUGGUAGUUAUGCGACAGGACAAGUAUGACAAGAUGGUAAAUUUCGUUGAACGUUUUUAAGUAUUUAUGGCUCAAUAUAUGGCUUCAAAAGUGGAUGUCAUCCACUUCUAUUUCUCGAUGGGACAUCAUUGAAGGCACAAUACCUUGAGCAUUAACUCACUUGAUGGAGAAGAACAAAUGUUUCUCGUUGCAUUCGAUAUUGUGGAUGCCGAAAGUAUCGAAAUUGGUUAUGGUUUAUAGAAUCUCUAAAGAUUGCUAUUGGGACAGAUUGUGAAAUCAUUUUUUUGUCAGAUAGACACCCUGGUCUAGUUGAUACUGUCUGUCAAGUAUUUUAGAAUGUCCAUCAUGCCUUCUGUAAGCGUCAUUUAGCAGAGAAUUUCAAGAAGGAAGUAAAAGACAUACCUAAUGAUUUCAAGAAAGCAGUUGUAAAAUACUUUAUCGGAGCAUGUAGAGCAUACAGGCCACAAGAGUAUUUUGAGAAGGUAAUUGAAAUUAGAUCAAUUUCUGAUUACGCAUUUAAAUAGUCAAUGGAAGCAUCGCCAGAUCGUUGGGCCACAUCACUCUUCAGGGAUAAAUGAUAUAACCAAGUAACAACUAAUGUGGCUGAGUCAUAUAAAAAGUAGAUUCUAUAAGUUUAAUGUGGCUAAGUCAUAUAAAAAGUAGAUUCUAGAACUACGAGACAUGUCAAUUUUCCAAUGCGUUGACUUGAUUAGAUGACAAAUCAUGAAACUAAUGGCCACCUGCAGCUUGGAAGCUGAAACUCGGACUACAACACUAAUCCCACACACUCAAAAUGAACUAAGAAAUAUCAUAAAGCAAUUCAUUUCUAUUAGGGUCACUGUAUACAGUGGAGCAGUGUUUGAAGCAAUGGGUGAUCACAUGAAUUAUAACAGGUUUGCCCUGCAAGCAUGCUUGUGAAAGCCUUCAAUGGAUGAAUAGGGAUCUCAUUGACUAUUGUGACGACUAUUUCACGGUUGCAAAGUUUCGUGAAAUAUAUUUCGAUCCUAUAGUGUCAGAUACCUUGAUCAAUCUAUCUGGGCGUAUGCAUGGACAACUUCCUUCAAAUGGAAUAAAAGUACUACCUCACUCAAGACGACCCCCUGCCUUACCUAAAAAGAAGCUCAUUGAGUCGCAGAAAGUACCCGUGCAACCUAUUCACUGUAGUCAGUGCAAAGGAACUGGUCACAACAGGACAACAUGUAAAGUACCCACUUGAAGACAUAUAUUUGUACUUAUCUUCUUUAUUCUGUCUUUUUAUAUUGUAGCACCUACUCAUGGGAAAUUUUAUUAUUCAUAUAUUAAUGGUGUUUGUUUAUAGUAUUUGUUUCUCUUGUGUUCAUUUCCCACUAUUAGCGCACAUAUAUUUAUGUUUGUUUCUUUUCUAUUGGAGCACCUACUCUUGGGAAAUUCUGCUAUUACAUAAAUUAAUGUUGUUUGUUCCAUUUGUGUUCAUUUCAUACUAUUGGCGUACAUAUAUUAUAUUUGAUUCUUUUCUGUCUCUUUUUUAAUAUGAUAUGCCACUUUUCUCUCUCUCUUUAUUGGAUAUGCUACUUGUGGUUUUUUUUUUAUACCAAUUAUAAAAAUAGAAUUAGCAAUGCAAGACUCGGAACAACCAAGAGGCACAGGGUAGUCAUCCACUUCGUCAGGUCCAAGGUAAGAGGUACGAUGGUCUAUUUGUUUUAGUUAAUGAUUUACAUUAAUUAAGUAUUUCUCAUAUUAUUGACUAUAAUCAUGUCUUAUUAAUUUUCAUUUUAGGACAGAAAUAUACUUCGUAUUGACGAAUCAACUCAAGCCCUAGCAAAAUGGAAACUCAAUCAACAACAUGUAUUUUUUAUUCAAAAGAUUGGAUUGAGCCCAUUGAUGGAUAUUGGGUUCUCGCAUAUCGAUUGCAAUCUACUGAGGGCAUUUAUAGAGAAAUGAUGCAAUGACACAAAUACUGCAUAUCUAACCAUCGGUGAAAUGGCUCCAACCCAAUACGAUGUGUGGCAGAUAUUAAGGUUACUCGUGACAGGCCAACCUGUAACCGGCAUCAGGCUUAAAACCUAUGUUGCUUUUGUCAAGGAGUAUCUAGGAGAUUACCUUAAAGACGUCACCCCGAUGCAUCUUAAUCAUACAUGGUUGAAGAGAAAAUUUGACCAACUACCAAAAAAGCCUACCAAAUUACAAUUCACGCAAUACAUACUAGCGUAUCUCUUUUAUUUACUCGGCACAACUAUAUUUGCCAACUCAUCUAAAGGAUCGACGCUUACAAUGUACCUGCAAUUGUUUUGAGAUUUCGAUGAGGUAGGAAAGUAUGUAUGGGGUGUUGCAGUGCUUGUUUUCUUGUAUUGUUCCUUGUCUAAGGUCGCAUGCGGGGAAAAGAAUCAUUUUAGUGGGUCAGUGACCUUACUAUAGGUAUUUCUCACUAUCUUUAUAGCUCAUAUUUACAAUAUUACAAUUUCUUUGGCUUCUUUUUCUAAAGUGUUGGAUCUAUGAGCAUUUUUUAGCUCUAGCCACCAAGCUUACAAUGGUCAUCAACCUAGGAAUGCCUAGAGCUUGCAUGUGGAAGAAACAACCAUGCCACAAAGACAUCAUUUGAUAACAUCUCAUUUGAUAUGGUGACCUCGUAAUCAUAUGAGGAG
Amborella trichopoda is the source of this 4852-nucleotide non-coding RNA. The record is from RefSeq and is a predicted model, not a curated record. NCBI's taxonomy places the organism in Eukaryota, Viridiplantae, Streptophyta, Magnoliopsida, Amborellales, Amborellaceae.